AUCAGCUAACCAGUCUGAGUGAGAGGUGCUUGGAAUGGAGCACAAUUCUACCUUUAGUCAGCAUUGAUAUGCUCACAUUUCUGACCAUAUUCUCAACUUAAAGAUAGUGUGGUCUUUGAUUCUCAUCUAAAUUCCGUUGAGGAGAUGGAAGCAGUGACAACAAUACACCUCUGAUGCCGGAAGAUCUCAGAUGGUGACGAGGAGGCGUACAGGAGUGAGGCAGACCGGCUGGUUAAGAACAACAACCUUGCCCCCAACAUUGUGGACUUCAGGAAGGCGAUGUCGAGGGAUCAGCAGUGAGCAGCUUCAAGUUCCUCUGCGUCACCAUCUGCGCCCACCAUAUUGAUGCAAUCGUAAAGAAGGCUCACCAGCAGCUCUACUUCAUUAGGAGCUUGAAGAGAUUUGGUUAUACCAACCAGAUCAACACAAGCUGAAGGCUGAAUGACUAUCACUUUACAAAGUUUAAAUCGUUCUGCUGUGCUGACCCAGUCUCUUUGCUUCGAUGAUUUCUUCCACCUGCUUCCUGAGAAACGCAUGUGGCACUGGCGCUCUCAUCAAUAUUCUCCUCUCCUUAAAGGCUGAUACUGCCUGACCUGUUGAGUGCCUUCCAUCUGUUUCUAUUUGUAUUUCAAUUGAGAACAUCCUCCAGCUACUGCAGCCCUGCCCAUUUCUGAAAGAACCACUGCCUCAUUUGAAGCCAUUCAAUGGAUUACUAAUCUUGACAUCAAACUAUUGGCCUGGCAAACUCAGAUCCACGCACCUCUGUCUGCCCCUCAACGAAUGAAGAAAUCUCUUAGCACCAUCGUAAGAGGGAUAGAGCACAGUGAGCGAACCUUCUGGCCCAAUGAGCUUGUGACCAAUUAACCUACUAACCCGUAUGUCUUUGGAAUGUGGGAUGAAAAUGGAGCACCUGGAGGAAACCCAUGUGGCUACAGGGAGAACGUGCAAACUGGCGCUUUUAAGCUCAGAAGAGUUCGUGACUUGACGUGCUGCCUUUGUCGAGAUGUGCUGUUCGAGGAGCCUUUGGUGGAACCGCAAGAUUUUAUGGCACAAUUUCAAGGGACUUCUUAAUAGACAUCUGAACAAUUGUCAUUGUUCAAUCACAUCAAUAAACAGACAGGAUACAAAAUAGAUUGCAGAUGCUGGAGUCUGGAGCAAGAAGUAAACUGCUGGACGAAUGCAGUGGGUCAGGCAGCAUCUCUGGAGACAGAGGUGACUAUUUCCCACACCCCAGACUCAACACAACCCUCUACCCUUCUCUGUCCCCUUUCUCCUUUGAAGACCCCUUCCUACCACCACCCCCUCUUCUAUUACCCAUCCUAUCCCCUUUCUCCCGUUACCCCCUGGGGACCCCAUACCUCAUCCAAGCAUCAAUAAACAGAUGACCUGGUAAUCAAAGCGAUACUCUUUAUGGGAUCUUGCUAUGCACAUCAGCCAUUACAUCU
Molecule: long non-coding RNA, 1445 nt
Organism: Hypanus sabinus (Atlantic stingray)
Lineage: Eukaryota; Metazoa; Chordata; Chondrichthyes; Myliobatiformes; Dasyatidae
Exons: 8
Source: RefSeq, a predicted model, not a curated record